This is a non-coding RNA of Misgurnus anguillicaudatus (oriental weatherfish), 331 nucleotides long. NCBI's taxonomy places the organism in Eukaryota, Metazoa, Chordata, Actinopteri, Cypriniformes, Cobitidae. The record is from RefSeq and is a predicted model, not a curated record.
UUUAAAAAAUGGUUCCUUUCAUCUCAGUGGAAUAAGAUUUUGUGAGUUUUCUACAUUAUCUGUCAAUAUUUAUAUAAAAAACUGGGCUUGAUUCGGUCGUUCAGAAGAUGUUUCAUUUUUUUUUUACAAAAGAGGCCCUUGGGGGUCAAAAUUAACCCAAUUAAAAAUGAAAUGGGAAAUGCAAAAAAUCCUUUUUUAUUUGUCAAAAAAAUCAAUGCAUCCAAAAUAAAUCAGAAAAUUUCAACACAGAAAAGAAGGCCUGGUACUAGAGCACAAAUGCAAUAUAGAAAAGACAUGCUCAAUCACAACACACACAAAGGUAUGACUGCCA